AUGGCAGCCGAUGAUCAGCCAAGGAGGAGCAGGAGGUACGCGCUGCUGCUGGCGGCGCGGGACUCGGAGUACGUGCUCAAGGCGUACGGAGGCUACUUCAAUGUCUUCGUGAGUGCGUUUGGCUCUGGCGACGACGGCGAUGGCAACGGCGACGUCUGCGAGACGUGGGACAUGUUCCGGGCGGUGGACGGGGAGCUCCCCGACCUGGACGACAUCGGAUGUUACGACGGCUUCGUCAUCAGCGGCAGCCCUUACGACGCGUACGCCGACGAGCUGUGGAUACUGCGGCUGUGCCUCCUCGUCCAGGAGGCCGUCGCCGCCCGGAAGCGCGUCCUCGGCAUCUGCUUCGGCCACCAGGUGGUAUGUCGCGCUCUGGGCGGCCGCGUCGGGAAGGCCAGGCGCGGCGGGUGGGACAUCGGCAUCCGGGAGGUGGCCAUGGCGGCGACGCUGCCGCCGUGGAGGUUCCUCGACGCGCUGCGGGACCUUCCCCAGUACGCCAAGAUCACCGAGUGCCACCAGGACGAGGUCUGGGAGGCGCCGCUGGGCGCCGACGUGCUGGCGUCCUCGGACAAAACCGGUGUGGAGAUGUUCUGCGUCGGCGACCACGUGCUGGGAAUCCAGGGCCACCCGGAGUACACCGGCGACAUACUCCUCAGCCUCGUCGACCGCCUCUCCACCAGCCAAUCCAUCACCUUGUCGUUCGCUGGGGAUGUGAAGAGGCAACUGGAGGCUACUAGCCCUGACAGAGAGUUCUGGCUCAAGCUCUGCAAAAGUUUCCUCAAGACUGAAGAAUCAUACUACUAG
Molecule: ribosomal RNA, 804 nt
Filed under: Triticum aestivum (bread wheat)
Lineage: Eukaryota; Viridiplantae; Streptophyta; Magnoliopsida; Poales; Poaceae
Description: partial small subunit ribosomal RNA
Source: RNAcentral